CCGACGGGUAAGAGAGCCGGUCCGAGGACAUNGUCGACUAACGGCCGCGCAAGCACCCGGCAACGGCGCUAGGUCCGUAAAUCCGUGAGAGGCGAGCCUGCCGACGAGCCAGGACGCACGACAAAAAGCGUGCGGCCCAAUACCUUAUUCAAAUGCGUUCUAUACCGCCGGGCAGCCGGCCGGGCGACCGUGGUCUGCGCGUCGCGCGUCGACGCGUGAACGCAAACGCGACAGUCGACCAACCGGCCGUAGGCCGGCACCCAACGGGUCGCGACGUCCUACUAGAGGAGAAGUGCACGCGACGUCGUCGGACAUACCGCAGCGAUGNGUGCCGCUGAACCGAAGCCCCGCGACAUCGCUAACACCGCACGGAAGCCAACGCCGCUGACGAUGAAUCUCCCCAUUCGAUCUUUUGGGUUUCUCAGGUUUA
This 430-nucleotide ribosomal RNA is filed under the name Glyphomerus stigma. RNAcentral describes it as "partial 28S rRNA". Lineage: Eukaryota; Metazoa; Arthropoda; Insecta; Hymenoptera; Torymidae. The record is from RNAcentral.